Molecule: long non-coding RNA, 267 nt
Filed under: Lathyrus oleraceus (garden pea)
Lineage: Eukaryota; Viridiplantae; Streptophyta; Magnoliopsida; Fabales; Fabaceae
Description: Pisum sativum (pea) long non-coding RNA (PSAT_LNC008338)
Source: RNAcentral
AGACAUGUCAUGCAUGAUGAGUUCUCAGUGUUUCGGUCUCUCUAUAUAAAAGAAGAAACUCGUUAGCAACUUGAAAACAACAAGUCAUAGUACAAGAUAUGUGUGUGACAUGGUCCUUAAAUUUUAACUUUUUCAAGAACAAUUCAUUUAUAACUCACACAAACCAAACACAACUUUAUUAUUAGGUUCGUUGUGUUUUUUUUAUCAUCCUGAUAGCUAGCAUGACUUCAUCACCGUUAAUAUUCACAAUGAGGAGGUUACAAUCAG